Molecule: long non-coding RNA, 1217 nt
Organism: Neofelis nebulosa (Clouded leopard)
Lineage: Eukaryota; Metazoa; Chordata; Mammalia; Carnivora; Felidae
Exons: 4
Source: RefSeq, a predicted model, not a curated record
CCAGCAACCAUGUGUUGAGUGUCUGCUGCAUGCCAGGCACUGUGCUGGGUAUCCAAAAUCAUGCUCUCACUGAGCUUCUGGACCUGGUUGGCAAGAAAACCACAGCAGGUGUGAAGACGGGGGCAAAAGCCCUAUGAAGACACACAGGACAAACACCUGAUUAUGGUUGAGUGAAAUGAGUGGCUUCUGAGAGAGGUGCCUUUGAAAAUGAGUCUUGAAGGAUAAGGUCAGCAGAGACCUGAUGGAGUUAAGGAGGUAAAGGGCAGGAAGAACGUGUUCCAGACAGAGGAGGAAGGAUUGAACAGUGUCCACUGUGGCUGCACCCCUGCAAACCAGGAGGGCCGGUGGGUCAGAGCCACAGACAAAGACUGCUCAAGGGAGCCUUGACUCCAUGCUAGGCCUGCUGGCAGACUAUUAAAGGAUGGUAGCAGAUGGAUGAGAUGCACCCUCACCUCUGCCUCCUCUUGGCGUCCAGAGUUGCUUUACUCUUGCCUCCCAAACAGAGCACACUGCAGAUUGCUUUGAUCGAUCUUUGCAACUAUCAUAGGUUGAGAGUCCAGGUGUGAUAGUUACUAAUUGCUUCAUGGGACAUCAGUCAGAAGAGAGACGCCGGCUGUGAUGACGGGCCAGGUGAGGAAGGUUCACACCCCACCUCCACCAUCCACCCAGUACCCAGUGCCCAGAGAACAGGCGGGUGUUCCGGGUUCUCGGCAGGGAUGUGGCCACGAUGGCCAGCGGCAGCUGCUCUGCUCCUCUCGAUCCUUGCAUGAGUCUACAUUUCAGUUGUAUUGAAAAGAAAGUGUGCAAAAUUUCCCUGUUCUUUACCCCACAGGGCCUGGGGAGGGUGAUGGCUCAGAGAGAGGGCUGUGGGGCAAAUCUGGGGACAGAGACAGGAGGGUGUGAUAGUGGGGUUCCAAGUGGAAAAGUUCUCCACCUGGUAGCUCCAAAUGGAUAGAAGGUAACUGACAUCUGGUGGCAAAGUAGUCCUGUCCCAACAGUGAGUGUCCCAACCCCAGGUACCAGCUGGGGGCUGCUGUGCUUGGAGCCCAGAACAAAGCCUGAGCUGCAGUUCACCCAACAACACCUCUUCCCAGGGCCGGGAACCCCUGUCUUCCCUGCAGCCCACACAAAACUCUGAUGUUCUAGGUCAUUGAUUCCUUAGUCACAGUGCACUGAGGAUUCUCUGAGCUGAAUACAGGCUGCUUUUUGCCCUUUCU